Molecule: ribosomal RNA, 497 nt
Filed under: uncultured bacterium
Lineage: Bacteria
Description: partial 16S ribosomal RNA
Rfam family: Bacterial small subunit ribosomal RNA
Source: RNAcentral
GAUGAACGCUGGCGGCGUGCCUAAUACAUGCAAGUCGAGCGAACGGACGAGAAGCUUGCUUCUCUGAUGUUAGCGGCGGACGGGUGAGUAACACGUGGAUAACCUACCUAUAAGACUGGGAUAACUUCGGGAAACCGUAGCUAAUACCGGAUAAUAUUUUGAACCGCAUGGUUCAAAAGUGAAAGACGGUCAUGCUGUCACUUAUAGAUGGGUCCGCGCUGCAUUAGCUAGUUGGUAAGGUAACGGCUUACCAAGGCAACGAUGCAUAGCCGACCUGAGAGGGUGAUCGGCCACACUGGAACUGAGACACGGUCCAGACUCCUACGGGAGGCAGCAGUAGGGAAUCUUCCGCAAUGGGCGAAAGCCUGACGGAGCAACGCCGCGUGAGUGAUGAAGGUCUUCGGAUCGUAAAACUCUGUUAUUAGGGAAGAACAUAUGUGUAAGUAACUGUGCACAUCUUGACGGUACCUAAUCAGAAAGCCACGGCUAACUACGUG